CAGUACUAACGAUGUACUGAUGUGUGUACUGUGUCCUUCUAGGUGUCCCUGUGGAGGAAAAGAUGUGGGCUUUUCCUGUCAGGAGGCACCAGGCUGUUGGUGAGCUUCCUGUGGUCUCUGGAACCAUGGAGAAUGAUUGGGUGUUGGAGAGCCUGUCUGACUCUGGAACCGAUGAUGAAUAGUCGUCAGAUAGGGAACUGCACUCAGAAGGAUUGGUUGCUGAUCGCUUAGAUUCCACCCACAUCUGCCUAAUUUACCCCAAUAACCACCAGAAGCCUAGCAGAACAGACUCUCCGGAGCCAAGCAUAGACAAGGGGCCCACGGAAGAGGGUCUGUCUCCCUCCCGUUGCCACUAGGCCCCUCCAAAGCGGACCACCGAAGUCAAAGCGAGCUGAGCCUGCCCCUCCCGCCCCUGUGCACCUUGCAGACCCACCCCGGCUAAUACGCCAGAUCCCAUCGAAGCAGCACCACAAGCCUGGCAGUGUGCAAGUAGCCCAGACAGAGGCCACACCACUCCACAGUGAGUCCUGCUCCUGGGAGAGGGGGAGAUAAGGUACACGCCAGUCUGACUGUGGCCUCAGCGGUGGGCUGGGGGCAGACAUCAGGUCUGACUGCGGCCCCGCCCACCAACUCAAGUUACUCCAGACAGCACAGAGGAAGAGCCCUGCAGUUCCGUGCCACUCCAGGGACUAUCCAAAAUGACCAAACGGAGGAAUUCUCCUCAAAAGAAACUCCAGGAAGUAGCGACAGCUUACGAACUGAUCAAAAACGAUGUAAGCAAUAUAGCAGAAAAUGAAUUCAAAAUAAUAGCCAUAAAAUUAAUUGCUGGGCUUGACAAAAGUAUAGAGGCCAGCAGAGAAUCUAUUACUACAGACAUCAAGGGACUAAGAAACAGUCAGGAGGAGCUAAAAAAUGCUAUAAAUGAGCUGCAAAAUAAAAUGGAGGUGACUACAGCUCGGAUUGAAGAGGCAGAGGAGAGAAUAGGUGAAUUAGAAGAUAAAAUUAUGGAAAAAGAAGAAGCUGAGAAAAAGAGAGAUAAAGAAACAUGGCCACUUUGAAAUGGUCUUACCG
Neofelis nebulosa (Clouded leopard) is the source of this 1071-nucleotide long non-coding RNA. RefSeq lists it as uncharacterized. NCBI's taxonomy places the organism in Eukaryota, Metazoa, Chordata, Mammalia, Carnivora, Felidae. The transcript has 5 exons. The record is from RefSeq and is a predicted model, not a curated record.